RNAcentral lists this unclassified non-coding RNA (207 nucleotides) under soil metagenome. RNAcentral describes it as "partial contains 5.8S ribosomal RNA, internal transcribed spacer 2, and large subunit ribosomal RNA". The record is from RNAcentral.
AACAUCGCGCACCUGCGGGAACCUGCGGAGGGAUCAUUACCGAGUUUACAACUCCCAAACCCCUGUGAACAUACCUAUACGUUGCCUCGGCGGAUCAGCCCGCGCCCCGUAAAAAGGGACGGCCCGCCCGAGGACCCCUAAACUCUGUUUUUAGUGGAACUUCUGAGUAAAACAAACAAAUAAAUCAAAACUUUCAGCAAUGGAUCU